CAGCAGCAGCCGCGGUAAUACGGAGGAUCCGAGCGUUAUCCGGAAUUAUUGGGUUUAAAGGGUGCGUAGGCGGAUAGAUAAGUCAGUGGUGAAAGACGGUGGCUCAACCAUCGCAGUGCCGUUGAUACUGUUUAUCUUGAAUAUGGAUGAGGUAGGCGGAAUGUGGCAAGUAGCGGUGAAAUGCAUAGAUAUGCCACAGAACACCGAUUGCGAAGGCAGCUUACCAAGGCAAAAUUGACGCUGAGGCACGAAAGCGUGGGGAUCGAACAGGAUUAGAUACCCCGGUAGUCCCUGUCUCUUAUAA
Molecule: ribosomal RNA, 304 nt
Filed under: uncultured bacterium
Lineage: Bacteria
Description: partial 16S ribosomal RNA
Rfam family: Bacterial small subunit ribosomal RNA
Source: RNAcentral